CCUACGGGUGGCAACAGUGAGGAAUAUUGGUCAAUGGGCGGAAGCCUGAACCAGCCAAGUCGCGUGAGGGAAUAAGGCCCUACGGGUCGUAAACCUCUUUUGCCGGGGAGCAAGGGCCGGGACGCGUCCCGGCCCGGAGAGUACCCGGAGAAAAAGCAUCGGCUAACUCCGUGCCAGCAGCCGCGGUAAUACGGAGGAUGCGAGCGUUAUCCGGAUUUAUUGGGUUUAAAGGGUGCGUAGGCGGUUUUAUAAGUUAGAGGUGAAAAUUCGGGGCUCAACUCCGGACGUGCCUCUAAUACUGUAUGACUAGAGAAGAGAUGCGGUAGGCGGAAUGUAUGGUGUAGCGGUGAAAUGCGUAGAGAUCAUACAGAACACCGAUUGCGAAGGCAGCUUACCAAACUAUAUCUGACGUUGAGGCACGAAAGCGUGGGGAGCAAACAGGAUUAGAUACCCCAGUAGUC
This 461-nucleotide ribosomal RNA is filed under the name uncultured bacterium. RNAcentral's name for it is "partial 16S ribosomal RNA". It matches the Rfam family "Bacterial small subunit ribosomal RNA", at positions 338 to 795 of the family's 1533-position model. The record is from RNAcentral.